RNAcentral lists this ribosomal RNA (260 nucleotides) under uncultured archaeon. RNAcentral describes it as "partial 16S ribosomal RNA". It matches the Rfam family "Archaeal small subunit ribosomal RNA", at positions 748 to 1009 of the family's 1478-position model. The record is from RNAcentral.
AGGGUGUAAACGCUGCAGACUUGGUGUUGGGAACCCUUCGGGGUGCUCAGUGCCGGAGAGAAGUUGUUAAGUCUGCUACUUGGGGAGUACGUCCGCAAGGAUGAAACUUAAAGGAAUUGGCGGGGGAGCACCGCAACGGGAGGAGCGUGCAGUUUAAUUGGAUUCAACGCCGAAAAACUCACCGGAUAAGACAGCGGAAUGAUUGCCGGGCUGAAGACUCUGCAUGACUAGCUGAGAGGAGGUGCAUGGCGUAGACGUCU